UACGUAGGCAGCGAGCGUUGUUCGGAGUUACUGGGCGUAAAGCGUGCGUAGGCGGUUUUCUAAGUCUGGUGUGAAAUCUCCCGGCUCAACUGGGAGGGUGCGCUAGAAACUGGAAGGCUUGGAGUGUGGGAGAGGUAGGCGGAAUUCCUGGUGUAGCGGUGAAAUGCGUAGAUAUCAGGAGGAACACCUGUGGUGUAGACGGCUUACUGGACCAUGACUGACGCUGAGGCACGAAAGCGUGGGGAGCAAACAGG
This 254-nucleotide ribosomal RNA is filed under the name uncultured bacterium. RNAcentral's name for it is "partial 16S ribosomal RNA". It matches the Rfam family "Bacterial small subunit ribosomal RNA", at positions 524 to 776 of the family's 1533-position model. The record is from RNAcentral.